GAUGAACGCUGGCGGCGUGCCUAAUACAUGCGAGUCGAGCGAACGGACGAGAAGCUUGCUUCUCUGAUGUUAGCGGCGGACGGGUGAGUAACACGUGGAUAACCUACCUAUAAGACUGGGAUAACUUCGGGAAACCGGAGCUAAUACCGGAUAAUAUUUUGAACCGCAUGGUUCAAAAGUGAAAGACGGUCUUGCUGUCACUUAUAGAUGGAGCCGCGCUGCAUUAGCUAGUUGGUAAGGUAACGGCUUACCAAGGCAACGAUGCAUAGCCGACCUGGGAGGGUGAUCGGCCACACUGGAACUGAGCCACGGUCCAGACUCCUACGGGAGGCAGCAGUAGGGAAUCUUCCGCAAUGGGCGAAAGCCUGACGGAGCAACGCCGCGUGAGUGAUGAAGGUCUUCGGAUCGUAAAACUCUGUUAUUAGGGAAGAACAUAUGUGUAAGUAACUGUGCACAUCUUGACGGUACCUAAUCAGAAAGCCACGGCUAACUACGUG
Molecule: ribosomal RNA, 497 nt
Filed under: uncultured bacterium
Lineage: Bacteria
Description: partial 16S ribosomal RNA
Rfam family: Bacterial small subunit ribosomal RNA
Source: RNAcentral